CGGAGGGAUCAUUAAAGAGUUCUAUAACUCCCAAACCCAUGUGAACAUACCUAACGUUGCCUCGGCAGGUCGCACCUACCUUGUAGCACCCUACCCUGUAGGGCCUACCCGGGAGGUGCAGGUAAGCCUGCCGGCGGCCCACCAAACUCUGUUUGAUAUUGAAUUCUGAACCUAUAACUAAAUAAGUUAAAACUUUCAACAACGGAUCUCUUGGUUCUGGCAUCGAUGAAGAACGCAGCGAAAUGCGAUAAGUAAUGUGAAUUGCAGAAUUCAGUGAAUCAUCGAAUCUUUGAACGCAUAUUGCGCCCAUUAGUAUUCUAGUGGGCAGGACCGUUCGAGCGUCAUUUCAACCCUUAAGCCUUCGUUGCUUAGUGUUGGGAGCCUACGGCAACGUAGCUCCUCAAAGUUAGUGGCGGAGUUGGUUCACACUCUAGACGUAGUAAUUUUUUAUCUCGCCUAUUAGUUGGACUAGUCCCCUGCCGUAAAACCCCCAAUUUAUCAAGGUUGACCUCGAAUCGGUUCAGACAAACUCGCUAAAUUGAAGCAUCUUAGUCAGCGAAGGAAAAGAAACCAACAGGGAUUGCCCUAGUAACGGCGAGUGAAGCGGCAACAGCUCAAAUUUGAAAUCUGGCCCUC
This 636-nucleotide ribosomal RNA is filed under the name fungal endophyte. Its description in RNAcentral is "eukaryotic LSU rRNA". The stretch from base 191 to 344 matches the Rfam family "5.8S ribosomal RNA". Lineage: Eukaryota; Fungi. The record is from RNAcentral.